This 76-nucleotide transfer RNA is filed under the name Chloroflexota bacterium. Its description in RNAcentral is "Chloroflexi bacterium tRNA-Arg". It matches the Rfam family "tRNA". From Rfam's summary of the family: Transfer RNA (tRNA) molecules are approximately 80 nucleotides in length. Their secondary structure includes four short double-helical elements and three loops (D, anti-codon, and T loops). Lineage: Bacteria; Bacillati; Chloroflexota. The record is from RNAcentral.
GCGCCCGUAGCUCAGUGGAUAGAGCAACUGACUUCUAAUCUGUAGGCCGUGGGUUCGAGUCCCGCCGGGCGCGUCA